Molecule: ribosomal RNA, 503 nt
Filed under: uncultured bacterium
Lineage: Bacteria
Description: partial 16S ribosomal RNA
Rfam family: Bacterial small subunit ribosomal RNA
Source: RNAcentral
AUUGAACGCUGGCGGCAGGCUUAACACAUGCAAGUCGAGCGGGGUGAUGGUGCUUGCACUAUCACUUAGCGGCGGACGGGUGAGUAAUGCUUAGGAAUCUGCCUAUUAGUGGGGGACAACAUCUCGAAAGGGAUGCUAAUACCGCAUACGUCCUACGAGAGAAAGCAGGGGAUCACUUGUGACCUUGCGCUAAUAGAUGAGCCUAAGUCGGAUUAGCUAGUUGGUGGGGUAAAGGCCUACCAAGGCGACGAUCUGUAGCGGGGCUGAGAGGUUGAUCCGCCACACUGGGACUGAGACACGGCCCAGACUCCUACGGGAGGCAGCAGUGGGGAAUAUUGGACAAUGGGGGGAACCCUGAUCCAGCCAUGCCGCGUGUGUGAAGAAGGCCUUAUGGUUGUAAAGCACUUUAAGCGAGGAGGAGGCUCUUUUGGUUAAUACCCAAGAUGAGUGGACGUUACUCGCAGAAUAAGCACCGGCUAACUCUGUGCCAGCCGCCGCUGUAA